This 404-nucleotide ribosomal RNA is filed under the name uncultured bacterium. RNAcentral's name for it is "partial 16S ribosomal RNA". It matches the Rfam family "Bacterial small subunit ribosomal RNA", at positions 30 to 526 of the family's 1533-position model. The record is from RNAcentral.
AUUGAACGCUGGCGGCAGGCCUAACACAUGCAAGUCGAGCGAGCGGCGGACGGGUGAGUAAUGCCUGGGAAGCGCGCAGUCGAGGGGUAUAACAGUUGGAAACGACCGCUAAAACCGCAUACGAAUGGCUUGCCUAGGUGAGAUGAGCUAGUUGGGGAGGUAAUGUCUCACCAGGGCGACGUGCCCUAGCUGGUCUGAGAGGAUGAUCAGCCACACUGGAACUGAGACCCGGUCCAGACUCCUACGUGAGGCAGCAGUGGGGAAUAUUGCACAAUGGGGGAAACCCUGAUGCAGCCAUGCCGCGUGUGUGAAGAAGGCCUUCGGGUUGUAAAGCACUUUCAGCGGGGAGGCGUUACUCGCAGAAGAAGCACCGGCUAACUCCGUGCCAGCAGCCGCGGUAAUUC